AGAGUUUGAUCCUGGCUCAGAACGAACGUUAGCGGCGCGCCUAACACAUGCAAGUCGCACGAGAAAGGGCUUCGGCCCCGGUAAAGUGGCGCACGGGUGAGUAACACGUGGGUAAUCUGCCCUCGAGCAGGGGAUAACGGUCCGAAAGGACCGCUAAUACCGUAUAAGACCACGCCCUCGAAAGAGGAUGCGGUCAAAGCUGGCCUCUAUUCAUAAGCUAGCACUUGAGGAUGAGCCCGCGGCGCAUCAGCUAGUUGGUGAGGUAAUGGCUCACCAAGGCUAAGACGCGUAGCUGGUCUGAGAGGAUGAUCAGCCACACUGGAACUGAGACACGGUCCAGACUCCUACGGGAGGCAGCAGUGGGGAAUCUUGCGCAAUGGGCGAAAGCCUGACGCAGCGACGCCGCGUGAGUGAUGAAGGCCUUCGGGUUGUAAAGCUCUGUGGGGAGAGACGAAUAAGUGCAGUCUAAUACAUUGCAUGAUGACGGUAUCUCCUUAGCAAGCACCGGCUAACUCUGUGCCAGCAGCCGCGGUA
This 534-nucleotide ribosomal RNA is filed under the name uncultured Pseudomonadota bacterium. RNAcentral describes it as "bacterial SSU rRNA". It matches the Rfam family "Bacterial small subunit ribosomal RNA", at positions 8 to 522 of the family's 1533-position model. The record is from RNAcentral. Lineage: Bacteria; Pseudomonadati; Pseudomonadota.